GCAGUCGACGGGCAUAGCAAUAUGUCAGUGGCAGACGGGUGAGUAACGCGUGGGAACAUACCUCUUGGUUCGGAACAACACAGGGAAACUUGUGCUAAUACCGGAUAAGCCCUUACGGGGAAAGAUUUAUCGCCGAGAGAUUGGCCCGCGUCUGAUUAGUUAGUUGGUGUGGUAAAGGCGCACCAAGGCGACGAUCAGUAGCUGGUCUGAGAGGAUGAUCAGCCACAUUGGGACUGAGACACGGCCCAAACUCCUACGGGAGGCAGCAGUGGGGAAUAUUGGACAAUGGGCGCAAGCCUGAUCCAGCCAUGCCGCGUGAGUGAUGAAGGCCUUAGGGUUGUAAAGCUCUUUUGUACGGGAAGAUAAUGACGGUACCGUAAGAAUAAGCCCCGGCUAACUUCGUGCCAGCAGCCGCGGUAAUACGGAGGGUGCAAGCGUUGUCCGGAUUUAUUGGGUUUAAAGGGUGCGUAGGCGGCUUUUUAAGUCUGGGGUGAAAGCCCGUUGCUCAACAACGGAACUGCCCUGGAAACUGGAGAGCUUGAGUACAGACGAGGGUGGCGGAAUGGAUACUGUAGCGGUGAAAUGCAUAGAUAGUAUCCAGAACCCCGAUUGCGAAGGCAGCUGCCUAGACUGUAACUGACGCUGAGGCACGAAAGCGUGGGGAGCGAACAGGAUUAGAUACCCUGGUAGUCCACGCCGUAAACGAUGG
Molecule: ribosomal RNA, 709 nt
Filed under: uncultured bacterium
Lineage: Bacteria
Description: bacterial SSU rRNA
Rfam family: Bacterial small subunit ribosomal RNA
Source: RNAcentral